Molecule: long non-coding RNA, 516 nt
Organism: Melopsittacus undulatus (budgerigar)
Lineage: Eukaryota; Metazoa; Chordata; Aves; Psittaciformes; Psittaculidae
Exons: 3
Source: RefSeq, a predicted model, not a curated record
GCAGUUCUGGAACUCUGGGGUGAUGUCACAGCCCAUGUUACAGUGGCAACUGCCCCUGCCCAGACACCAACACAGACCUGCACCCUGACCUCACCCAGAGUUUUCGCCUGUUCCCAUCUCCGUGCUCCAUUCCCUUCUGCCGUGUUCCUGAUCUGCUCUGCCCUGCUCCCAUCCCCGUCUGCUUGCUGCCAUCCCUACUGCCCUGCUCCCAGCCCUUUCCACUUUUUCCCAGUCCCAUUUCUUUGAUCCUUGCCCUUAUACCUGACUUAUAACUUAUACCUGAUACGAGGAAAUGCAGGCCCAGAAGAAAGCCACCCGUGUCCUGCUGGUGGCCGCACUGAGCCCUUGCGGAGGCGAGGAGGCAGAGGACUCCCUUCACAGAGUCCUCAAGCCCUUACCGCCCCGCAAGGUGCUCAAGCAGAGCAGGAAGAGGAUCCUCCGGCUGCAGGCGCCAGCCUGUCAGAGCUGGCUAUUCCAACAACUGCGGGAGCUGGAGGAUCAGGCCACCAGCAGGAC